UUUAGAGUGUAUAACUCACGUACCCGUGUGGUGAUGGAGUCUAUAAAUGUUGUGAUAGAUGAUGGUGUGAGUGAGGGGGAGAGUGCUAGAAAUUGUGAUAAAGAUGGUGAUCGUUUGGUUUCCAGUGAUCCUACUGAACUACCUGUGCCUGAAACAUCUGAAAAGGAAACACUUCUAGAUAAACAUUCUAAGGAACCAUCAACUAGGGUUAAAUCUAACCAUCCUAAGGAUAAUAUCAUUGGGGAUCUAGAUGAAG
RNAcentral lists this long non-coding RNA (256 nucleotides) under Olea europaea (common olive). RNAcentral describes it as "long non-coding RNA (OEUR_LNC011905)". The record is from RNAcentral. Lineage: Eukaryota; Viridiplantae; Streptophyta; Magnoliopsida; Lamiales; Oleaceae.